This is a small nucleolar RNA of Xenia sp. Carnegie-2017, 84 nucleotides long. RefSeq annotates it as small nucleolar RNA snR60/Z15/Z230/Z193/J17. Lineage: Eukaryota; Metazoa; Cnidaria; Anthozoa; Malacalcyonacea; Xeniidae. The record is from RefSeq and is a predicted model, not a curated record. The transcript has a single exon.
UGUUGGAAAGUGAUGACCAAAGUGCAUAGUUCACCUGAAGUUUAUCUACUUCUGAUGACACAUUAGCUCUAUCUGAUUCCAUUU